RNAcentral lists this ribosomal RNA (388 nucleotides) under Hypocolpus abbotti. Its description in RNAcentral is "partial 12S ribosomal RNA". The record is from RNAcentral. Lineage: Eukaryota; Metazoa; Arthropoda; Malacostraca; Decapoda; Xanthidae.
UUAGAUACCCUAUUAUACUAGUGAUUACCUUAAUUAUUAAUAGAUAUGAUCUUUAAACUUGAAGAAUUUGGCGGUGGUUUAAUCUUGUUAGAGGAACCUGUUUUUGAAUCGAUACACCACGUGAAAUCUUACUCGUUUUAUUAAGCCUAUAUACCGUCAUUAUCAGACAAUUUUUAAAGAAAUAAAUUGUUGAGAUUUGUAAGUUAGAAGUAAAUUAAAUUAGAUCAAGGUGUAGCCUAUAAAUGAGUUAAAAUGGGUUACAAUAAAAUGUAUUUAAGAUGAAUUAGUUUAAGGAAGAAUUAACUAUGAAGGAGGAUUUGAUUGUAAUAAGAGUUUAAUAAGCUCUAAAGAUAUAAGCUCUAAACCAUGUACAUAUCGCCCGUCGCUA